AGUGAACGCUGGCGGUAGGCCUAACACAUGCAAGUCGAACGGCAGCACAGGAGAGCUUGCUCUCUGGGUGGCGAGUGGCGGACGGGUGAGGAAUACAUCGGAAUCUGCCCAGUCGUGGGGGAUAACGUAGGGAAACUUACGCUAAUACCGCAUACGACCUUCGGGUGAAAGAGGGGGAUCGCAAGACCUCUCGCGGUUGGAUGAGCCGAUGUCGGAUUAGCCAGUUGGCGGGGUAAUGGCCCACCAAGGCGACGAUCCGUAGCUGGUCUGAGAGGAUGAUCAGCCACACUGGAACUGAGACACGGUCCAGACUCCUACGGGAGGCAGCAGUGGGGAAUAUUGGACAAUGGGCGCAAGCCUGAUCCAGCCAUACCGCGUGAGUGAAGAAGGCCUUCGGGUUGUAAAGCCCUUUUGUUGGGAAAGAAAUCUUUCAGGCUAAUACCCUGGGAGGAUGACGGUACCCAAAGAAUAAGCACCGGCUAACUUCGUG
This 490-nucleotide ribosomal RNA is filed under the name uncultured bacterium. Its description in RNAcentral is "partial 16S ribosomal RNA". It matches the Rfam family "Bacterial small subunit ribosomal RNA", at positions 29 to 507 of the family's 1533-position model. The record is from RNAcentral.